UGGNGAAUAGNGCACAAUGGGAGGAANCNUGAUGCAGNGACGCCGCGNGGGGGAUGAAGGCCUUCGGGUCGUAAACUUCUUUCGACAGGGACGAAGCUUUUGUGACGGUACCUGUAUAAGAAGCACCGGCUAAUUACGUGCCAGCAGCCGCGGUAAUAUGUGGGGUGCGAGCGUUUUCCGGAAUUACUGGGGGUAAAGAGCUCGUAGGUGGUUUGUCGCGUGGUAUCUGAAAUUCCGGGGAUUAACUCCGGGCGUGCCGGCGAUACGGGCUGACAUGACUGUUUUAGGGGAGAUUGGAAUUCCUUGCGUAGCGGUGAAAUGCGCAGAUAUCAGGAGGAACACCGAUGGCGAAGGCAGGUCUUCGGGCAGUAACAGACGAUGAGGAGCGAAAGCAUGGGUAGCGAACAGGAUUAGAUACCCUGCAAACACAUGCCGUAAACGGUGGCCUUCAGGGGUAGGGGGCUUCCAUCUCUUCUGUUUCGUAGCCACCAAGUAAGCUGCACGCCGAGGGAGCACGGCACCAAGGUCA
Molecule: ribosomal RNA, 529 nt
Filed under: uncultured bacterium
Lineage: Bacteria
Description: bacterial SSU rRNA
Rfam family: Bacterial small subunit ribosomal RNA
Source: RNAcentral